GCUUAACACAUGCAAGUCGAGCGGUAAGGCCCUUCGGGGUACACGAGCGGCGAACGGGUGAGUAACACGUGGGUGAUCUGCCUCGUACUCUGGGAUAAGCCUGGGAAACUGGGUCUAAUACCGGAUAUGACCACGCACUGCAUGGUGUGUGGUGGAAAGAUUUAUCGGUGCGAGAUGGGCCCGCGGCCUAUCAGCUUGUUGGUGGGGUAACGGCCUACCAAGGCGACGACGGGUAGCCGACCUGAGAGGGUGAUCGGCCACACUGGGACUGAGACACGGCCCAGACUCCUACGGGAGGCAGCAGUGGGGAAUAUUGCACAAUGGGCGGAAGCCUGAUGCAGCGACGCCGCGUGAGGGAUGACGGCCUUCGGGUUGUAAACCUCUUUCGACAGGGACGAAGCGCAAGUGACGGUACCUGUAGAAGAAGCACCGGCCAACUACGUGCCAGCAGCCGCGGUAAUACGUAGGGUGCGAGCGUUGUCCGGAAUUACUGGGCGUAAAGAGCUUGUAGGCGGUCUGUCACGUCGAUCGUGAAAACUCGCGGCUCAACUGCCAGCCUGCGGUCGAUACGGGCAGACUAGAGUACUUCAGGGGAGACUGGAAUUC
RNAcentral lists this ribosomal RNA (606 nucleotides) under Nocardia crassostreae. RNAcentral's name for it is "bacterial SSU rRNA". It matches the Rfam family "Bacterial small subunit ribosomal RNA", at positions 46 to 669 of the family's 1533-position model. Lineage: Bacteria; Bacillati; Actinomycetota; Actinomycetes; Mycobacteriales; Nocardiaceae. The record is from RNAcentral.